GAUGAACGCUAGCUACAGGCUUAACACAUGCAAGUCGAGGGGCAGCGGUAUCGAAAGCUUGCUUUCGGUAGCCGGCGACCGGCGCACGGGUGAGUAACGCGUAUCGAACCUGCCUCAUACUCGGGAAUAGCCUUGCGAAAGUAAGAUUAAUGCCCGGUGUUUUCAGAGUCCCGCAUGAGGCUUUGAACAAAGAUUUAUCGGUAUGAGAUGGCGAUGCGUCCCAUUAGCUUGUUGGCGGGGUAACGGCCCACCAAGGCAUCGAUGGGUAGGGGUUCUGAGAGGAAGGUCCCCCACAUGGGAACUGAGACACGGUCCAAACUCCUACGGGAGGCAGCAGUGAGGAAUAUUGGUCAAUGGGCGGAAGCCUGAACCAGCCAAGUAGCGUGCAGGAAGACGGCCCUCCGGGUUGUAAACUGCUUUUAGUUGGGAAUAAAACGGGGCUCGUGAGCCCCCUUGCAUGUACCAUCAGAAAAAGGACCGGCUAAUUCCGUG
Molecule: ribosomal RNA, 492 nt
Filed under: uncultured bacterium
Lineage: Bacteria
Description: partial 16S ribosomal RNA
Rfam family: Bacterial small subunit ribosomal RNA
Source: RNAcentral